This is a long non-coding RNA of Pseudophryne corroboree (corroboree frog), 401 nucleotides long. RefSeq lists it as uncharacterized. The transcript has 4 exons. The record is from RefSeq and is a predicted model, not a curated record. Lineage: Eukaryota; Metazoa; Chordata; Amphibia; Anura; Myobatrachidae.
UUCAUUACACAGAUGCUGAGCCACCUUUGCAGAUCUAUUGAGGAUUUAAGAAUCCACUGGGUUGGCUUGACUGAGUGUCCAAUUUGAAGUCCUAGGGACCUAUGGGGUCUUGUCAUCAAGCAUUCACGAAUGAGCCGUUGAGAUUGUGAUUCUAUAUACUAUUCAUAGUACUUACCAUUUAGUUGAGAUCCACCCCUGAUGAAGUCUUGGAGAAAAGAUGAAACACGUCAGGUUGUCUUCUUAUGAAGCUCAUGUUAAAGAUAAAGUGGAUAUUACAGAAUAUCACCUGUAAAUUGCUACUGUGGUCAUUGAUCUGUAAAAAGUGUGAAGCAAGUUACCACUUUUUCGAUGUACAUACAUUCAUUGUAUAUUUUUACAAUAAUAAAAGUUUUUAGAUGGAA